UGCUGAAGCAACAAAUGCCCUGCUUCCAGGAAAAGCCUCUAAGCAUCAGGUAACAUCAAAUCGUACCCCAAACCGACACAGGUGGUCAGGUAGAGAAUACCAAGGCGCUUGAGAGAACUCGGGUGAAGGAACUAGGCAAAAUGGUGCCGUAACUUCGGGAGAAGGCACGCUGACACGUAGGUGAAGUGAUUUACUCAUGGAGCUGAAGUCAGUCGAAGAUACCAGCUGGCUGCAACUGUUUAUUAAAAACACAGCACUGUGCAAACACGAAAGUGGACGUAUACGGUGUGACGCCUGCCCGGUGCCGGAAGGUUAAUUGAUGGGGUCAGCGCAAGCGAAGCUCCUGAUCGAAGCCCCGGUAAACGGCGGCCGUAACUAUAACGGUCCUAAGGUAGCGAAAUUCCUUGUCGGGUAAGUUCCGACCUGCACGAAUGGCGUAAUGAUGGCCAGGCUGUCUCCACCCGAGACUCAGUGAAAUUGAACUCGCUGUGAAGAUGCAGUGUACCCGCGGCAAGACGGAAAGACCCCGUGAACCUUUACUAUAGCUUGACACUGAACAUUGAGCCUUGAUGUGUAGGAUAGGUGGGAGGCUUUGAAGCGUGGACGCCAGUCUGCGUGGAGCCGACCUUGAAAUACCACCCUUUAAUGUUUGAUGUUCUAACGUGGACCCGUAAUCCGGGUUGCGGACAGUGUCUGGUGGGUAGUUUGACUGGGGCGGUCUCCUCCUAAAGAGUAACGGAGGAGCACGAAGGUUGGCUAAUCCUGGUCGGACAUCAGGAGGUUAGUGCAAUGGCAUAAGCCAGCUUGACUGCGAGCGUGACGGCGCGAGCAGGUGCGAAAGCAGGUCAUAGUGAUCCGGUGGUUCUGAAUGGAAGGGCCAUCGCUCAACGGAUAAAAGGUACUCCGGGGAUAACAGGCUGAUACCGCCCAAGAGUUCAUAUCGACGGCGGUGUUUGGCACCUCGAUGUCGGCUCAUCACAUCCUGGGGCUGAAGUAGGUCCCAAGGGUAUGGCUGUUCGCCAUUUAAAGUGGUACGCGAGCUGGGUUUAGAACGUCGUGAGACAGUUCGGUCCCUAUCUGCCGUGGGCGCUGGAGAACUGAGGGGGGCUGCUCCUAGUACGAGAGGACCGGAGUGGACGCAUCACUGGUGUUCGGGUUGUCAUGCCAAUGGCACUGCCCGGUAGCUAAAUGCGGAAGAGAUAAGUGCUGAAAGCAUCUAAGCACGAAACUUGCCCCGAG
This 1239-nucleotide ribosomal RNA is filed under the name Salmonella enterica subsp. enterica. RNAcentral describes it as "partial 23S ribosomal RNA". It matches the Rfam family "Bacterial large subunit ribosomal RNA", at positions 1583 to 2803 of the family's 2925-position model. The record is from RNAcentral. Lineage: Bacteria; Pseudomonadati; Pseudomonadota; Gammaproteobacteria; Enterobacterales; Enterobacteriaceae.